This is a long non-coding RNA of Dreissena polymorpha, 348 nucleotides long. RefSeq lists it as uncharacterized. The record is from RefSeq and is a predicted model, not a curated record. NCBI's taxonomy places the organism in Eukaryota, Metazoa, Mollusca, Bivalvia, Myida, Dreissenidae. The transcript has 3 exons.
AGUACCGGUAUUGGCCGCACGGGAACCUACAUCGCCCUGGACAUUCUGAUACACGAGGGCGAGGCGAAUGAAGCCGUGGAGAUACAUGGAUGUGUGCUGGACAUGAGGAGGAACAGGGUUAACAUGAUCCAGACAGUUGGUACAACGCACAUGGCACUCAAAUAGAUGUCAAAGUGGUUAGUGUGAUUAAAUAUUGCAGGAGCAAUACGAGUUUCUACACAGAGCCCUUGUUCACGCCUUAACCUUUGACUGCGCGCCCGUGGCCGCUAACCAGUUAGAGAACUAUGUCUCAAAGACAGGACAACAGCAACGAGAAACGCAGUUCAAUCUACUGAUGUCCAUUUCUCA